UACGUAGGUGGCAAGCGUUGUCCGGAUUUACUGGGCGUAAAGAGCGCGCAGGCGGUCGUUCAAGUCGAGUGUGAAAGCCCCCGGCUCAACUGGGGAGGGUCACUCGAUACUGAUCGACUCGAAGGCGGGAGAGGGAAGCGGAAUUCCCGGUGUAGUGGUGAAAUGCGUAGAUAUCGGGAGGAACACCAGUGGCGAAGGCGGCUUCCUGGCCCGUUCUUGACGCUGAGGCGCGAAAGCUAGGGGAGCAAACGGG
Molecule: ribosomal RNA, 253 nt
Filed under: uncultured Acidobacteriota bacterium
Lineage: Bacteria; Pseudomonadati; Acidobacteriota
Description: uncultured Acidobacteria bacterium partial 16S ribosomal RNA
Rfam family: Bacterial small subunit ribosomal RNA
Source: RNAcentral